AAGACUCUCGGCACCAAAUAUCUCGACUCUGGCAUCGAUGAAGAACGUAGUGAAAUGCGAUACUUGGUGUGUAUUGCAGAAUCCCAUGAACCAUCGAGUCUUUAAAUGCAAGUUGUGCCCGAAGCAAUUAGGUCGAGGGCAUGCCUGCCUAGGUAUUGCACAUCGUUGCCCCAUGCCUUGGCCCCGUGCUAGGCACCAAGCGGGGCGAAUGUUGGCUUCCUGCAAGUAAUGUCUCACGGUUGGUUGAAAACUGAGUCCACGGUGGAGGGCACUGUGAUGGAUGGUGGCUGAGCUAAUGCUUGAGACUGAUCGUGCGUGUCACUCCCACCAGCUUUGCAACUCUUUGAUCCAUGGGAAUAUGUUGGCCUCCUAAUACGGGAACAUCAGGUCAAGCGGGGCUACCCGCUGAGUUUCAGUAUAUCAAUAAGUGGAGGAAGAGAAACUAACAAGGAUUCCCUUAGUAGUGGCGAGCGAACCGGGAAAAUCCAACCAUGAGAAUCAGUUGCCCUCGAUGUCUGAAUUGUAGUAUGGAGAAGCGUCCUCAACGGCGGACUGAGCCCAAGUCCCCUAGAAGGGGGCGUCGGAGAGGGUGAGAGGCCCGUCGUGCCCAGACCUUGUUGCAGCAUGAGGCGCUAUCAGCGAGUCGGGUUGUUUGGGAGUGCAGCCCCAAUCGGGUGGUAAAUUCCGUUGAAGGCUAAAUUGAGGCGAGAGACCGAUAGUGAACAAGUACCGUAGGGGAAAGAUGAAAAGGACUUUGAAAAGAGAGUCAAAGACUGCUUGAAAUUGUCGAGAGGGAAAGGGAUGGGGGCCGGUAAUGUGCCUCGGUCGGAUGUGGAAGGGCGAGAGCCGAUCCACCAAUCGACUUGGGACAAUGACCAACGCGAAUUGUGAUGGUGGCCCAAGAUUGGGCUAUUGACAUGCUCGUGAAGACGUCAUCAUCGUGAUUGUGUUAGGAAGUGUGCGUCGUUUCGUGUGCUUCGGCUCCUGCAUGCUCCGAGCGUCGGCCUGCAGGCUCCAUAUUCGACCCAUCUUGAAACACGGAACAAGGAGUUUGACAUGUGUGCGAGUUAGAGGACAAGUAAACCCCUAAGGCACAAUGAAGCUGAUUGGUGGGAUCCCCUUGUGGGUGGCACCGUUGACCGACCCUGAUCUUCUGUGAAGGGUUUGAGUGAUAGCAUACCUGUCGGAACCCGAAAGAUGGUGAACUAUGCCUGAGCGGGGCGAGGCCAGUGGAAACUCUGGUGGAGGCGAACAGCGAUACUGACGUGCAAAUCGUUCAUCUGACUUGGGUAUAGGGGCGAAAGACUAAUCGAACCGUCUUGUAGCUGGUUCCCUCCGAAGUUUCCCUCAGGAUAGGUAGAGCCUAUAGGCGAGUUCUAUCGGGUAAAGCCAAUGAUUAGAGGCAUCGGGGGUGCAACGCCCUCGACCUAUUCUCAAACUUUAAAUAGGUAGGGUGAUGUGGCUGCUUUGUUGAGCCACGCCACGAAAUCGAGAGCUCAGAGUGGGCUAUUUUUGGUAAGCAGAACUACCGAUGCGGGAUGAACCGGAAGUGGGUUACGGUGCCCAACUGUGUGCUAACCUAGACCCUACAAAGGGUGUUGGUUGAUUAAGACAGCAUGACGCUAGUCAUGGAAGUCAAAAUCUGCUAAGGAGUUUGUAACAACUUACCUGCCGAAUCAACUAGCCCCAAAAAUGGAUGGCGCUAAAGCGCGCGAUCCAUACCCAGCCAUCAGGGCAAGGGCCAGGCCCCGAUGAGUAGGAGGGCGUGGCGGUCGCUUCAAAACCUAGGGCGUGAGCCCGGGCGGAGCGGUCGUCGGUGCAGAUCUUAAUGGUAGUAGCAAAUAUUCAAAUGAGAACAUUGAAGGCCGACUAGGGGAAAGGUUCCAUGUGAACGACACUUGCACAUGGGUUAGUCGAUCCUAAGGGACGAGGGAAGCCCGUCUGAUAGCACUCUAAGUGUGCACUCCGAAAGGGAAUUGGGUUAAAAUUACUGAACUGGGACGUGGUGGCUGACGGCAACGUUCGGGUGUCCGGAGACCGCGGCGGGGACCCAGGAAAGAGUUAUAUUUUCUUUUUAACAGCCUGCCCAUCCUGGAAACAACUCAACCGCAGGUAGGGUCCAGUGGCUAGAAGAGCACUGCACGUCGCGUGGUGUCUACUACGCCCCCAAAUGCCCUUGAAAAUCUGGAGGACCGAGUGCCUCCCACGCCCGGUCAUACUCAUAACCGCAUCAGGUCUUCAAGGUGAACAACCUCUGGUUGAUGGAACAAUGAAGGCAAGGGAAGUUUGCAAAAUGGAUCUGUAACCUCGGAAAAAUGGAUUCGUAACCUCUAGUCGAUGGAACAAUGUAGACGACUUUCCUUGUUACACAAACCACACAAAAAAUAGAGUAAUGUGAAGCACAAAAUAGCUCAAAUAUUAUAAAAUAGCUCACAAUUACUAAGAAUAUGUAUAAGAUCAGAAUCAUGAAGAACAUGUAAUUUCUACCCUUAAGAAAUCUCUAAACAGUAAUGAAAGAAUCAUGCAAGAACAAGAUAGGAUGAUGAACACAUUUGAUAAUAUGCAAUGAAUGACAUGUUAAUCUUUAAGCAUAAUACUAUCUCACUCUAAUCUCACAUGCAAUUUUGUCUGCAUAUAUGACAUACAAAGAAUAUGAAAGUAUGCAACUUAGCAGUUCUAAUAUGAAUGUAUUCAUUCGUAUAUGAAAUCUGUUGAAAAUACAGUUUAUAUAGAAAAACAGUUUUGCACCCAGUUAAUCGACUAUGUUGCUUCUUAAUCGAUUAAUGGGUUGUUAGAGAGUAACUGAAUUCUGUUUUUCAGUUAUCUGUUGAAACUGUUAAAAACUAUUUUCACGUUAAUCGAUUAACUAGCAUAUUUUCAAUCUAGGUUUACCUAACCUAGACUCAAUAACUAAGACACAUCUAAGAAUCUAGUCUAGACAUGAAGCUCUUGAAUCUUUGGCAUGUUGAUUUGUUGAGUUGUCUUUAAGCUUUCACUAAGUCCUUUGUCUUCAUUAAAACAUAGGCAAGCUUAAGUGCUCUCUUGACACAUUGCACUUUCAAUCUCCCCCUUUUUGAUGAUGACAAACUCAACACCAAAUUUGUUUUGAUGCAUAGCUUGAAGAUGAUCACAAAAUGAAUGGUUGUUGAUUUCAAAGUUAAAGUGCAUGGCUAGACAACAGAAGCUUAGUAUUAUUUACAACCUGCACACAUUAAACAACAAAACAACCUUUCUCCCCCUUUUGACAUUAUCAAAAAGAUAAACUAAAUGAAACUUUGGUCAAAAGUAAGAAGAGAUAUGAAGUGAACUCAAACUGUAAUUAAUCAAUUAAUUUUG
RNAcentral lists this small RNA (3336 nucleotides) under Lupinus angustifolius (narrow-leaved blue lupine). Its description in RNAcentral is "eukaryotic LSU rRNA". The stretch from base 381 to 2732 matches the Rfam family "Eukaryotic large subunit ribosomal RNA". Lineage: Eukaryota; Viridiplantae; Streptophyta; Magnoliopsida; Fabales; Fabaceae. The record is from RNAcentral.